Molecule: ribosomal RNA, 243 nt
Filed under: uncultured bacterium
Lineage: Bacteria
Description: partial 16S ribosomal RNA
Rfam family: Bacterial small subunit ribosomal RNA
Source: RNAcentral
UACGGAGGAUCCAAGCGUUAUCCGGAAUCAUUGGGUUUAAAGGGUCCGUAGGCGGUUUGGUAAGUCAGUGGUGAAAGCCCAUCGCUCAACGGUGGAACGGCCAUUGAUACUGCCAGACUUGAAUUAUUAGGAAGUAACUAGAAUAUGUAGUGUAGCGGUGAAAUGCUUAGAGAUUACAUGGAAUACCAAUUGCGAAGGCAGGUUACUACUAAAUGGAUUGACGCUGAUGGACAGAAAGCGUGG